AUUUCAUAUCUUUACCUCUUCAGGGUAAUACUUUAAUAAAGCUAUCCGAAA
This 51-nucleotide transfer RNA is filed under the name Ascoschoengastia sp. TATW-1. RNAcentral's name for it is "tRNA-Phe". The record is from RNAcentral. Lineage: Eukaryota; Metazoa; Arthropoda; Arachnida; Trombidiformes; Trombiculidae.